AUACGUAGGGUCCGAACGUUAUCCGGAAUUAUUGGGCGUAAAGAGUUCGUAGGUGGCAAGAAAAGUCGGGCAUUAAAGCCCUCGGCUCAACCGAGGAAUCGUAUCCGAAACUUUCUAGCUAGAGGUUCGCAGAGGCAGAUGGAAUUCAUGGUGUAGCAGUGGAAUGCGUAGAUAUCAUGAAGAACACCAAUGGCGAAGGCAGUCUGCUGGGCAAUACCUGACACUGAGGAACGAAAGCGUGGGUAGCGAACGGGAUUAGAUACCCCGGUAGUCCACGCCGUAAACGAUGCACACUAGGCAUUUGGAGUAUCGACCCUUCGAGUGCCGAAGCUAACGCGUUAAGUGUGCCGCCUGGGUAGUACGGCCGCAAGGCUAAA
RNAcentral lists this ribosomal RNA (377 nucleotides) under uncultured bacterium. RNAcentral describes it as "bacterial SSU rRNA". It matches the Rfam family "Bacterial small subunit ribosomal RNA", at positions 523 to 898 of the family's 1533-position model. The record is from RNAcentral.